GAGGAUAUAGCUCAAACACUAGAGCACAUGCUUAGCAUGCACAAAGUCCUGGGUUCAAUCCCCAGUACCUCCU
This 73-nucleotide transfer RNA is filed under the name Camelus bactrianus (Bactrian camel). It matches the Rfam family "tRNA". From Rfam's summary of the family: Transfer RNA (tRNA) molecules are approximately 80 nucleotides in length. The record is from Rfam by way of RNAcentral. RNAcentral also lists the same sequence under 3 other names. Lineage: Eukaryota; Metazoa; Chordata; Mammalia; Artiodactyla; Camelidae.